RNAcentral lists this ribosomal RNA (731 nucleotides) under uncultured Campylobacter sp. Its description in RNAcentral is "bacterial SSU rRNA". It matches the Rfam family "Bacterial small subunit ribosomal RNA", at positions 28 to 776 of the family's 1533-position model. The record is from RNAcentral. Lineage: Bacteria; Pseudomonadati; Campylobacterota; Epsilonproteobacteria; Campylobacterales; Campylobacteraceae.
AGUGAACGCUGGCGGCGUGCCUAAUACAUGCAAGUCGAACGGAGAUUAAGUAGCUUGCUAUUUAAUCUUAGUGGCGCACGGGUGAGUAAUGUAUAGUUAAUCUGCCCCAUAGUGGAGGACAACAGUUAGAAAUGACUGCUAAUACUCCAUACUCCUUCUUAUCAUAAGUUAAGUCGGGAAAGUUUUUCGCUAUGGGAUGAGACUAUAUCGUAUCAGCUAGUUGGUAAGGUAAUGGCUUACCAAGGCUAUGACGCGUAACUGGUCUGAGAGGAUGAUCAGUCACAUUGGAACUGAGACACGGUCCAAACUCCUACGGGAGGCAGCAGUAGGGAAUAUUGCGCAAUGGGGGAAACCCUGACGCAGCAACGCCGCGUGGAGGAUGACACUUUUCGGAGCGUAAACUCCUUUUGUUAGGGAAGAAUAAUGACGGUACCUAACGAAUAAGCACCGGCUAACUCCGUGCCAGCAGCCGCGGUAAUACGGAGGGUGCAAGCGUUACUCGGAAUCACUGGGCGUAAAGGACGCGUAGGCGGAUUAUCAAGUCUCUUGUGAAAUCUAGUGGCUUAACCACUAAACUGCUUGGGAAACUGAUAAUCUAGAGUAAGGGAGAGGCAGAUGGAAUUCUUGGUGUAGGGGUAAAAUCCGUAGAGAUCAAGAAGAAUACUUAUUGCGAAGGCGAUCUGCUAGAACUUAACUGACGCUAAUGCGUGAAAGCGUGGGGAGCAAACAGG